AGGGGAAUAUUGCACAAUGGGGGAAACCCUGAUGCAGCGACGCCGCGUGAGCGAAGAAGGUUUUCGAAUCGUAAAGCUCUGUCCUAUGAGAAGAUAAUGACGGUAUCAUAGGAGGAAGCCCCGGCUAAAUACGUGCCAGCAGCCGCGGUAAUACGUAUGGGGCGAGCGCUGUCCGGAAUUAUUGGGCGUAAAGGGUACGUAGGCGGUUUAUUAAGUCAGGUGUGAAAGCGUGAGGCUUAACCUAAUUAAGCACUUGAAACUGAUUGACUUGAGUGAAGGACAGGAAAGUGGAAUUCCUAGUGUAGCGGUGAAAUGCGUAGAUAUUAAGAGGAAUACCGGUGGCGAAGGCGACGUUCUGAACUUUUACUGACGCACAGGUACGAAAGCGUGGGGAGCAAACAGG
Molecule: ribosomal RNA, 403 nt
Filed under: Verrucomicrobiota bacterium
Lineage: Bacteria; Pseudomonadati; Verrucomicrobiota
Description: Verrucomicrobia bacterium partial 16S ribosomal RNA
Rfam family: Bacterial small subunit ribosomal RNA
Source: RNAcentral